Molecule: ribosomal RNA, 439 nt
Filed under: uncultured bacterium
Lineage: Bacteria
Description: partial 16S ribosomal RNA
Rfam family: Bacterial small subunit ribosomal RNA
Source: RNAcentral
CUACGGGGGCAGCAGUGAGGAAUAUUGCACAAUGGGGGGAACCCUGAUGCAGCAACGCCGCGUGGAGGAUGACGCAUUUCGGUGUGUAAACUCCUUUUAUAUGUCAAGAAAAUGACGGUAGCAUAUGAAUAAGCACCGGCUAACUCCGUGCCAGCAGCCGCGGUAAUACGGAGGGUGCAAGCGUUACUCGGAAUCACUGGGCGUAAAGGACGCGUAGGCGGGUUGGAAAGUCAGGUGUGAAAUCCUACAGCUUAACUGUAGAACUGCACUUGAAACUUCUAAUCUAGAGUAUGGGAGGGGGAGAUGGAAUUAGUGGUGUAGGGGUAAAAUCCGUAGAUAUCACUAGGAAUACCUAAAGCGAAGGCGAUCUCCUGGAACAUUACUGACGCUAAGGCGUGAAAGCGUGGGGAGCAAACAGGAUUAAGAUACCCCAGUAGUC